Molecule: transfer RNA, 96 nt
Filed under: Polyangiaceae bacterium
Lineage: Bacteria; Pseudomonadati; Myxococcota; Polyangiales; Polyangiaceae
Description: tRNA-Sec
Rfam family: Selenocysteine transfer RNA
Source: RNAcentral
GGAAGCGCGAGGCUAGCUGGCGCGGCUCCCGGUCUUCAAAACCGGUGUAAGGCGUCGCACGACGUCUUAGGUGGGUUCGAUUCCCAUGCGCUUCCG